GAUGAACGCUGGCGGCGUGCCUAAUACAUGCAAGUAGAACGCUGAAGCUUGGUGCUUGCACCGAGCGGAUGAGUUGCGAACGGGUGAGUAACGCGUAGGUAACCUGCCUCUUAGCGGGGGAUAACUAUUGGAAACGAUAGCUAAUACCGCAUAAAAGUCGAUAUCGCAUGAUAUUGAUUUGAAAGGUGCAAAUGCAUCACUAAGAGAUGGACCUGCGUUGUAUUAGCUAGUUGGUGAGGUAACGGCUCACCAAGGCGACGAUACAUAGCCGACCUGAGAGGGUGGUCGGCCACACUGGGACUGAGACACGGCCCAGACUCCUACGGGAGGCAGCAGUAGGGAAUCUUCGGCAAUGGGGGCAACCCUGACCGAGCAACGCCGCGUGAGUGAAGAAGGUUUUCGGAUCGUAAAGCUCUGUUGUAAGAGAAGAACGAGUGUGAGAGUGGAAAGUUCACACUGUGACGGUAACUUACCAGAAAGGGACGGCUAACUACGUG
Molecule: ribosomal RNA, 497 nt
Filed under: uncultured bacterium
Lineage: Bacteria
Description: partial 16S ribosomal RNA
Rfam family: Bacterial small subunit ribosomal RNA
Source: RNAcentral